GGGGAGGCCUCAACUUCCGGGUUCCCGUCCGGUCCCUCGGGCUUCCGCCCCCGGGCCCAGCUGUGGAUCCUGCAGAGCUGAUGUGAUAUGAAGCUUUGAGUGACGUGAAGGAAGCAGAAGUCAUUGUCCAGGAGGAAGAUUCUUCCCAGGGAGGAAGGUGGCAGCAGGCCCGGAGCAAACCUGAAGACCUGGGUACAGCUGCUUCUCUGGCCACGCGGGGCCAUCCGUGGCCAGCGUCUCUGCCAGGCUCUGGGUCCCUUGAGUCAAAACCAAAUGCUGGAACCGUCGGGGCUCCCCUUCCAAUCCCACUUCAGAAGAAAUACAAGGUCAGCCAGGCUGCCCUGCCCACCAGACCCUUCCCUUCAACAGGGGCGGCAGGCAGUCCCCCAACCCGAGAUGAGCCUCCGCUGGAAAGAUGGAGAACCUCUUCUUUCUCCUCCAGCCUGCCCUUGCCCCCCCCCCAGCACGGGUUUCCUGUGGUGAAGGCCGUUGAUGGGCCCGCCCGGGGCCUGGGGCCACUUUCAGAAGCCAAUUCACGUGUCCGAUCGGCAU
Ornithorhynchus anatinus (platypus) is the source of this 552-nucleotide long non-coding RNA. RefSeq lists it as uncharacterized. NCBI's taxonomy places the organism in Eukaryota, Metazoa, Chordata, Mammalia, Monotremata, Ornithorhynchidae. The transcript has 3 exons. The record is from RefSeq and is a predicted model, not a curated record.